UUCUGAGACAAUUCUGAGGUAAUUCAGGAAGUAGAAAAAUUAAAGCAAAAAACUAUAAUAAUAUUCUCAGAGAUAAAAAGUAAGGUAUUUAUGAGAAAAAAAAACAGAAUAAUUUAAAAGGAAUAUUUAGAGAACAAUAAAAGGCUCUGAAACAUUAAAAAUAAUAUAGUAGAAAUUAAAAAUCAAAAGAAAGCUUGAAGAUAAUGGUCAAGUGAAGUUCCUAGAAAGAACAAAUGACAGAAGAAAAUGAGAGAAGUACAAGCCAGUUUCUCAGAAUGAAAGGACAGUCCUGCAAAAAGACUAAACCAAGAAAAAACAUCAUGAGAUACCAGAAGACCAAGGAUUUUUAAAUAUAUAUGGAGGUAUGAAAAGUUCUUUGAAAGGGAAAAACAAAGGAUCAGGGAUCAGAAUGGGAUUAGAAAAUUCCUGGUCACAACCACUGGAAACCAAAAGACAAUUAAUUAAAAGUUCAAAUUCCUAACAUAAGGUGAUUUCUAAGUCAAAUUCUGCACCUGUCCAUACUCUACAUAUAGAGCAAAAAUAAAUAUUUUUCAGAUAACCCAGGUCUCAAAUAAUUUGCCUCCCAUAUUUUCUUCUCAGAAAGAUCUUGGGAGUUAUUGGCCUCCACUGAAAUAAGAGUAAACAAAGAAAGAGGGAAAGGGGGCCCAACACCAGAGAAAGGCCAAGGAUACACCAUGAUGGUGCAAAAGUAUAGAACCUGAUUAGCAGAUUUUACAGGAGCCUGAGAAAGAAGCUAUGUCAACAAGGAAAAAUGGGAUUGAUAGACUAUCAGAUGUGAUUGGCUAUUUCAGAGAGGUUUCUUAGACAGAACAUAUUCCAGGAAGAGAG
This 849-nucleotide long non-coding RNA is filed under the name Marmota monax (woodchuck). Lineage: Eukaryota; Metazoa; Chordata; Mammalia; Rodentia; Sciuridae. The record is from RNAcentral.